AAGUGCAUGGUUCAGUGGUUUGAGCUAUGGACUAUGACUCUGGAGAUCAGGGUUUGAAUCCCCACUUGGCCAUG
Non-coding RNA from Phrynosoma platyrhinos (Desert horned lizard), 74 nucleotides. The record is from the annotation of a GenBank genome assembly. NCBI's taxonomy places the organism in Eukaryota, Metazoa, Chordata, Lepidosauria, Squamata, Phrynosomatidae.